AUCGAACGCUGGCGGCAGGCCUAACACAUGCAAGUCGAACGAGUGGCGGACGGGCGAGUAAUGUCUGGGAAACUGCCUGAUGGAGGGGGAUAACUACUGGAAACGGUAGCUAAUACCGCAUACCAUCAGAUGUGCCCAGGUGGGAUUAGCUUGUGGGUGGGGUAACGGCCCCCCAAGGCGACGAUCCCUAGCUGGUCGGAGAGGAUGACCAGCAACACUGGAACUGAGACACGGUCCAGACUCCUACGGGAGGCAGCAGUGGGGAAUAUUGCGCAAUGGACGCAAGCCUGAUGCAGCCAUGCCGCGUGUAUGAAGAAGGCCUUCGGGUUGUAAAGUACUGUCGGCGGAGAGGCGUUACCCGCAGAGGAAGCACCGGCUAACUCCGUGCCAGCAGCCGCGGUAAUAC
Molecule: ribosomal RNA, 406 nt
Filed under: uncultured bacterium
Lineage: Bacteria
Description: partial 16S ribosomal RNA
Rfam family: Bacterial small subunit ribosomal RNA
Source: RNAcentral